GUUACAAGUGUACACCUUGCAGCCUACAGUUUGAAGUUUUUUUCAACUCCUUGUAUUUUUGCUUUUGGGUACAUGCUUGGUUUUGUUUUAUUUAUUUAUUUCAAUGCCAAGAAGCAUGUGAAUAGGGUUUCCCGUGUCUUAGUAAGGAGAGGAGAGGCUUUGCUUUCAAUACGAUGGUAGCCAUUAACCUUGAUCCAGUAAACUUAGAUCAGCGCCUAAAUCAUCAUUUGCAUAUAAUUAAACAGUACCAUUGACUGUAUUUAUAUUAUCUAUGAUUGGUACUAAAAUUUAUAUACAUCAUGGAAGUUUGUUCUCCUGUGUACCGUCUAUUGCAAUAUCACCUUUUCAUAUAGUUCUGCUGUUUUGAAUUGGGUGCAGUUAAUUUUCAUAGAGAUAUUCUGACAUUGUUCUGCAUGGCAGGGCCUAAACUGCGGGAACCAAAAUCCUGGAAACAUACAGUUCCUUCACUGCGCAAGUGCGAGUCUGAGUAGAGAUACAGAUAUCACUGGAAUUAAUUUUUGCAUCUUGAAUUCCACCACUUUGGGUUGCUCCUGCACAUGCAAAUGAUCAGCAUAAUAGGUUACUGGCCUCUUCAAGAGAAUCUUCAGUGUGAUGUUUUCCUGUUCGGUAAGCUGUGAUGAAAAUAAGCCUCGAAGACCUGAAAGGCUGAAGCUUGGACAACGUGAAUCCCAAGUUACAGAACUGGAGAGACCCUUUCUUGGGCUGAAGCCAAUUACUUUGUGCAGAACAAGUGUGUCCUUGAACAUGACAUGUCUGAGUUAGUAAGUACACUUGCAGUCAGUCAUUGUGCUGCCGAGCCAUUUGUUUUCAGGAUGUGCAAGUUUGAUGUGCUAAAAGAUUGCUUUGUUGUGUUGCUCUUUCUUGGGCUGAAUCAACCCAUAUUGCAAGA
Long non-coding RNA from Triticum aestivum (bread wheat), 910 nucleotides. RefSeq lists it as uncharacterized. The transcript has 2 exons. NCBI's taxonomy places the organism in Eukaryota, Viridiplantae, Streptophyta, Magnoliopsida, Poales, Poaceae. The record is from RefSeq and is a predicted model, not a curated record.